AUUAUAUUGACAUUUCUUUGAAGAAAGUAAACUAUUGUUUUCACGAGUCAUAUUUAAUUAGUAUUUAUUUGUAGUUGGAAGUCAUUUUUUAUUUUAUUUUGGUGUGAUUGCGUGGGCAUGGCAUGGGUUGUAGGCAUGGACUGAGAUCGAGAUACCGACAAACAUCACACAACAGAGUAAUAUGAUUGUUAACGCUCGAGAUAUUACAAAACUUGUGUUCACCAA
Salvia miltiorrhiza (redroot sage) is the source of this 225-nucleotide long non-coding RNA. RefSeq lists it as uncharacterized. The transcript is spliced from 2 exons. The record is from RefSeq and is a predicted model, not a curated record. Lineage: Eukaryota; Viridiplantae; Streptophyta; Magnoliopsida; Lamiales; Lamiaceae.